AGCAGCAGUCAGAGCUACAGAGUUUGGGGUGAGAACUGAUUCCAGACCCCCCAAAACUCCCUUGAGACCCCUCUUGGAAAGGAGGGACAUGGACUCCUAUUUUGGAGAGCAGUUUUGGACAUGCAGCACCAGAGAGGGAGAGAGGAGCUGAGAAGCUCAAAGAUAUCCCUGAGCUGG
Molecule: long non-coding RNA, 177 nt
Organism: Chiroxiphia lanceolata (lance-tailed manakin)
Lineage: Eukaryota; Metazoa; Chordata; Aves; Passeriformes; Pipridae
Exons: 4
Source: RefSeq, a predicted model, not a curated record